CAGUAGCCGCGGUAACACGUAGGGUGCAAGCGUUAAUCGGAAUUACUGGGCGUAAAGCGUGCGCAGGCGGUUCGCUAAGACAGAUGUGAAAUCCCCGGGCUUAACCUCGGAACUGCCUUUGAUACUGGGUAUCUUGAGUCCGGGAGAGGUUGGUGGAACUCCGAGUGUAGAGGUGAAAUUCGUAGAUAUUCGGAAGAACACCAGUGGCGAAGGCGACUCUCUGGUCUGUAACUGACGCUGAGGAGCGAAAGCGUGGGGAGCGAACAGGAUUAGAUACCCCAGUAGUCCCUGUCUCUUAUAU
Molecule: ribosomal RNA, 301 nt
Filed under: uncultured bacterium
Lineage: Bacteria
Description: partial 16S ribosomal RNA
Rfam family: Bacterial small subunit ribosomal RNA
Source: RNAcentral